This 924-nucleotide ribosomal RNA is filed under the name uncultured bacterium. RNAcentral describes it as "bacterial SSU rRNA". It matches the Rfam family "Bacterial small subunit ribosomal RNA", at positions 8 to 916 of the family's 1533-position model. The record is from RNAcentral.
AGAGUUUGAUCAUGGCUCAGAACGAACGCUGGCGGCAGGCUUCAUACAUGCAAGUCGAGCGGAAAGGCCCCUUCGGGGGUACUCGAGCGGCGAACGGGUGAGUAACAGGUGGGUAAUCUGCCUUUCGGAGGGGGAUAACGGCUGGAAACGGCCGCUAAUACCCCGUACGGUUGUGAAGCUCUUGGGCUUUGCAAAGAAAGGGGCCUUUAAAGCCCCGCCGAAAGAUGAGCCCGCCCCCCAUUAGCUAGUUGGCGGGGUAAUGGCCCACCAAGGCUGUGAUGGGUAGCCGAGCUGAGAGGUCGAUCGGCCACACUGGAACUGAGACACGGUCCAGACACCUACGGGUGGCAGCAGUAGGGAAUAUUGCGCAAUGGGCGAAAGCCUGACGCAGCCAUGCCGCGUGGAUGAUGAAGGCCUUCGGGUCGUAAAGUCCUUUUCUGAGGGAAGAACUGCCGGGGGAGGAAAUGCCCUUGGCUUGACGGUACCUCAGGAAUAAGCAACGGCUAACUCCGUGCCAGCAGCCGCGGUAAUACGGAGGUUGCAAGCGUUGUUCGGAAUGACUGAGCGUAAAGGGAGCGCAGGCGGCCAAGUCAGUCUGAAGUGAAAGCCCGGGGCUUAACCCCGGAAUAGCUUUGGAUACUGCCUGGCUUGAGUGUGCGAUAGGAAAGCGGAAUUCCAGGUGUAGCGGUGAAAUGCGUAGAUAUCUGGAGGAACACCGGUGGCGAAAGCGGCUUUCUGGCGCAUAACUGACGCUGAGGCUCGAAAGCGUGGGGAGCGAACGGGAUUAGAUACCCCGGUAGUCCACGCCGUAAACGUUGUGCACUAGGUGUGGGAGGUAUCGACCCCUUCCGUGCCGAAGCUAACGCAUUAAGUGCACCGCCUGGGGAGUACGGUCGCAAGACUGAAACUCAAAGGAAUUGACGG